AGAAAUUAGGUUUAAUCUUCAAGCC
This 25-nucleotide transfer RNA is filed under the name Tomistoma schlegelii (false gharial). RNAcentral describes it as "partial tRNA-Trp". The record is from RNAcentral. Lineage: Eukaryota; Metazoa; Chordata; Crocodylia; Gavialidae.